AUGCCGAUCAGCGAGUGGUUUCCACGCAGGCGUUGUUCAAGGACGUCAUUGAAGACUGCUGGCUGGCGCAGUGGAUCCUUGCCGCUGUUGGCAUG
This 95-nucleotide transfer RNA is filed under the name Pseudomonas koreensis. RNAcentral's name for it is "tRNA-Sec". Lineage: Bacteria; Pseudomonadati; Pseudomonadota; Gammaproteobacteria; Pseudomonadales; Pseudomonadaceae. The record is from RNAcentral.